Molecule: transfer RNA, 71 nt
Filed under: Dermophis mexicanus (Mexican burrowing caecilian)
Lineage: Eukaryota; Metazoa; Chordata; Amphibia; Gymnophiona; Dermophiidae
Description: tRNA-Lys
Rfam family: tRNA
About the family: Transfer RNA (tRNA) molecules are approximately 80 nucleotides in length. Their secondary structure includes four short double-helical elements and three loops (D, anti-codon, and T loops).
Source: RNAcentral
ACUAAGUAGCUAAAAAGGUCAAAGCAUUAGCCUUUUAAACUAAUAAUGAUGUCUACCAAACAUCCUUAGUA